UAAGGAGCACCAUCGUCGAAGGACGGUAUGGAGCCAGCGACCUGCGAAUGUCGGGUCGGGGUGCUCAUGGCGGAGAACACUGGUGAGUUCGAUCCUGGCAACGGCUAGGACGCCUGGUACGGCCACUUCGGUGGUGUGGAACGGUUGGUUGUGGUGCGGCUGGGGAGGAUGGAUAGCACCCUGUUGGGUCCUGAAGGAACAACCGUGGGUUGUUUCUUUCGGAGCCUUGGCCAGCACGUGAGUUCUGGGGGCUGAGCCCAUGGCCUGGUCUCGCAUACCGUCGACGUGUGUCUUGUGGGUUGGUCGUUUGUUUGAGAAUUGCACAGUGGACGCGAGCAUCUUUGUGGUCAA
Molecule: unclassified non-coding RNA, 351 nt
Filed under: Micromonospora olivasterospora
Lineage: Bacteria; Bacillati; Actinomycetota; Actinomycetes; Micromonosporales; Micromonosporaceae
Source: RNAcentral